GCGAGCGGCGGAUGGGUGAGUAACACGUGGGGAACCUGCCCCUAAGUCUGGGAUACCAUUUGGAAACAGGUGCUAAUACCGGAUAAUAAAGCAGAUCGCAUGAUCAGCUUUUGAAAGGCGGCGUAAGCUGUCGCUAAGGGAUGGCCCCGCGGUGCAUUAGCUAGUUGGUAAGGUAACGGCUUACCAAGGCGACGAUGCAUAGCCGAGUUGAGAGACUGAUCGGCCACAUUGGGACUGAGACACGGCCCAAACUCCUACGGGAGGCAGCAGUAGGGAAUCUUCCACAAUGGACGCAAGUCUGAUGGAGCAACGCCGCGUGAGUGAAGAAGGUUUUCGGAUCGUAAAGCUCUGUUGUUGGUGAAGAAGGAUAGAGGUAGUAACUGGCCUUUAUUUGACGGUAAUCAACCAGAAAGUCACGGCUAACUACGUGCCAGCAGCCGCGGUAAUACGUAGGUGGCAAGCGUUGUCCGGAUUUAUUGGGCGUAAAGCGAGCGCAGGCGGAAAAAUAAGUCUAAUGUGAAAGCCCCUCGGCUUAACCGAGGAACUGCAUCGGAAACUGUUUUUCUUGAGUGCAGAAGAGGA
RNAcentral lists this ribosomal RNA (582 nucleotides) under uncultured bacterium. RNAcentral's name for it is "bacterial SSU rRNA". It matches the Rfam family "Bacterial small subunit ribosomal RNA", at positions 91 to 658 of the family's 1533-position model. The record is from RNAcentral.